UACGAAGGGUGCAAACGUUGCUCGGAAUUAUUGGGCGUAAAGCGCACGUAGGCGGCUCUGUAAGUUGGAUGUGAAAUCCCUCGGCUCAACCAAGGAAGUGCAUUCAAAACUGCAGGGCUUGAGUACUUAAGAGGAUCGCGGAAUUCCCGGUGUAGAGGUGAAAUUCGUAGAUAUCGGGAGGAACACCAGUGGCGAAGGCGGCGAUCUGGGAAGAUACUGACGCUGAGGUGCGAAAGCGUGGGGAGCAAAC
RNAcentral lists this ribosomal RNA (250 nucleotides) under uncultured bacterium. RNAcentral describes it as "partial 16S ribosomal RNA". It matches the Rfam family "Bacterial small subunit ribosomal RNA", at positions 524 to 773 of the family's 1533-position model. The record is from RNAcentral.